GGGCUUAUGAUGAUAAUUUCAAUUAUCUUAGCGGAUUUCAGUGAGAUUUAUUCAAUGAUCUGAUUGUUACACACACUGAAGCCU
Molecule: small nucleolar RNA, 84 nt
Organism: Vitis vinifera (wine grape)
Lineage: Eukaryota; Viridiplantae; Streptophyta; Magnoliopsida; Vitales; Vitaceae
Rfam family: Small nucleolar RNA R11/Z151
About the family: snoR11/Z151 is a member of the C/D class of snoRNA which contain the C (UGAUGA) and D (CUGA) box motifs. Most of the members of the box C/D family function in directing site-specific 2'-O-methylation of substrate RNAs.
Source: Rfam